Long non-coding RNA from Oxyura jamaicensis (ruddy duck), 699 nucleotides. RefSeq lists it as uncharacterized. The record is from RefSeq and is a predicted model, not a curated record. The transcript is spliced from 2 exons. NCBI's taxonomy places the organism in Eukaryota, Metazoa, Chordata, Aves, Anseriformes, Anatidae.
GGCUGCUGGGGGCUCUUGCACGGCCAGCAGCUGGUGCGCGCCGCUCCGGGCACGCCGCUUGCACGGCUGCUGCGCACCCCCGGCACAGGCAGCUUGCACAGCCCAGAGGCCAUUUUGGGAGCAGCCGCCAGCCCUGCACAGGACGGGGCUGUGGAGCAGCCAGGGAGGACCCCGGGGUCCCGGUCCCUCGCCCAGCAGCCCCACGGGGCCCCCACAUCCCACCCGGCCCCGUGCAAAGCUCCGCACCCUCAAAGCGCCUUCAGCCCUCGCCCCGUGCACGCACGGGGGUCCCCGUGCACACAGCAGGAGGGGAAGGGAGCAAACCCCGAGGGGCUGGGGUGCUGUGCCCCUCAGGCUCUCCCCCCCAGCACCAGGACACCCCUGUGCCCACCGUGGGGACCCCGUUGGGGGCCGGGCGCUGCCGGUGCGGCCGCGCGGCGGGGCCGGGCAGGGAGGCGCGCGCUGCGCUGUGCCCAUCUGUUUCGUUUUACGGAGCGGAUAAAGAAGAACUCCAAGAAUGAGAUUAUUGGGGAGGCCGGCGAGCUACGGAGGAGCCCGAGCACCACAGCCGUGCCGCCGCCGCCUCCCAGCCCCUCGCCCAGAUCAAAUCCUGCACGAGCACCGAGCUGGCAGCCGAGGUGCAGCAGCGCCAGUGCCGGGGCUGGAUGGGGAGCGCCGCGUUUCUCCCCCCCCCCGGCC